GUCUACGGCCAUACCACCCUGAAUGCACCCUAUCUCUUCUGAUCUCAGAAGCUAAGCAGGGUCGGGCCUCGUUAGCACUUGGAUGGGAGAACACUCGGACACAGGAAGGGGAACAUCACACACU
Molecule: non-coding RNA, 124 nt
Organism: Pongo abelii (Sumatran orangutan)
Lineage: Eukaryota; Metazoa; Chordata; Mammalia; Primates; Hominidae
Source: Rfam